GAGGGUAUAGCUCAAGUGGUAAAGCACAUACUUACCAUGCAUGAGGUCCUGGGUUCAAUCCCCAGUACCUCCU
RNAcentral lists this transfer RNA (73 nucleotides) under Camelus bactrianus (Bactrian camel). It matches the Rfam family "tRNA". Rfam says of the family: Transfer RNA (tRNA) molecules are approximately 80 nucleotides in length. Lineage: Eukaryota; Metazoa; Chordata; Mammalia; Artiodactyla; Camelidae. The record is from Rfam by way of RNAcentral. RNAcentral also lists the same sequence under 3 other names.